GCACAGAAUAUUUUGGUAUAUUUAUAUCACUUAGAUAUUCCAUUAGGAAUAAUGUUCUAAAGUAUAUUUCUCUCCAAUAUAUUUAUUAAUCACUCUGUAGUUGUCAGAAUUUAAUUUGUUAGAUAUAUUUCAUGUUUUAAUGCCUUGCUAGCAAUUUCUUUUUACAUUUUCCUUUGUUCUUUAUUGUUUAGGCUGUCAAAUCUGGAGAAUUAAAGGGUUUUGAUUGGGGCUACAGAGGAAAUAUGGCUCACUAUAACCAGGUAACAAAACGCUUAUUUCUUCUUUACGUCCCUCAGGGGUAUUUGACAAAAAUAUGUAUUACUGGUCCUUCAUAUGAUUGGUCACAGCCAUAGAAAAAGUGAUAGUUUACUUAACACCUAAUUGGUAGACUGCAUUAAGGUAACUAGGAAACCUCUCGAAAACAGAAUAAGACAUGUGGAAGGUGAGAGAUUAGCUAAUGUUCUGUGCAGGCAGCUGAAUGUAAAACCAGAUAAAUAACCCAAGGGCAAAAUUAUGAACAAUUACAGAAUGUAGAAAAAAAAUUCAAUAUGGAUUCCAUCAUAGAACAUCAAUGCUUUAACAAGUAGAAGACUGAAGUGCAUUUUUUAAUAACCGCUCAUGAGAAGGGAUUAACCACACGGAACAUGGUGCACGUCAAAUGAUAGUGUAUGGGCUAAAUAGUGGACCGGGACACGAAUAACCUAUGAUGGAAUAAUGAGCAUACCAGGUUUAGAUCCACCCGAGCAUGUAACAAACAUAUACAGGACCUGCCCUCAUGAGCAGUGUGGAAGACUGUUAACCCCUUAAGGACACAUGACGUGUGACAUGUCAUGAUUCCCUUUUAUUCCAGAAGUUUGGUCCUUAAGGGGUUAAUGUGCGGAACCAGAGACCAUUUGACAGAGAAACACCAUUUUUCUAUUGGGAUUACUUUUUUCUAGAAUUCACAAUUCCUGGUUUAGAGAAUAACCCUGAGUACCAUAACCUGAAAGUAAUAGAGAUAAAUAAAAAAACAACUGCCUUAACUUAUCCAUUUGUAUUGCCAUAGUGUUCUGAUUUAUUUGUUUGACUUGAAAGAUUAUUACAUGAUUUAGAAAGAAUUUGUAUAUCUACACGUUUUAAAUAGUUUGUACAUUUGGUAAAACUCUCCUGUUAGCUACAAUUGCCUCAUAUGUCAAUUGUGUAUGGAAACAUUCCUGCACAGCUGUCUUUCCAAUAGAAUGAGCUACACUGGUCAGCCACAACAGUAAAAUCACUGACAGGUAAAGUAAUGAUAUUGUUAUAACGGCACCUGUCAUGGGCUGGGAUAUGUUAGGCAGCAAGUGAACAGUCCGUUCUGGAGUUUCAUGUGUUGGAAGCAGAUAAAAUUGGCAAGCGAAAAGAUCUGAGUGACUUUGACAAAUAGUGAUGAGUAGAUGACUGGAUCGGAGCAUCUCCAAAACUGCAAGUUUUGUGGGAUGUUCCAGAUAUGCAGUGGUUAAUACCUUCAAUAAGUGUUGCAAGGAAGGACCGGCGUUAGGGUCAUGGGAGCCGAAGUCUCAUUAAUGCAAGUGGGGAGCGAAUAUCCGAUUACAAAGAAAUGCUACUGUAGCUCAAAUUGCUGAAAAACGUAACGCCGCCCAUGAUAGAAAGGUGUCAGAACACUAUGUGCAUCACAGUUUGCUGACUAAAUGCAAACCGCUAAGAGUGCCCACGAUGACCCCUAUCCACCGCCAAAAGCGCCUCUAAUGGGCACAUGAGCAUCAAGAACUGGACCAUUAAAAAGGCAGGCUCAUGGAGGCAGUGUUAUGCUCUGGGCAAUGUUCUUGUAGGAAACCUUUGGACCUGGCAUUCAUGUUACUUUGACAAACAUCACCUACCUAGAUAUUGUUGCAAACCACAUACACCCCUUCAUGGCAGUGGUGUUCUAUGAUGGCAGUGGGCUCUUUCAGAAGGAUAAUGCACCAUGCCACACUGUUGAUCAGGAAUGGUUUGAGGAACAUGAUAAAGAGGCCAUGGUGUUGCCUUGGCCUACAUAUAUUUCCCAGACCUCAAUACAAAUGAGCAGCUGUAGGAUGUGCUAGAAAAACAAAUAUGAUCCAUAGAUAACCCACCUUGCAACAUGCAGGACUUAAAGGAUCUGCUGCUAAUGUCUUGGUGCUAGAUACCACAGGACAUGAUCAGAGGUCUUGUGGAUAUUUCAUGUCUUGACAAUUCAGAGCUGUUUUGGCAGCACGAGGGGGACCUACACAAUAUUAGGCAGGUAGUUUUAAUGUUGUGACUGAUCAAUGUAGGUUUAUUAGACAUACACAUUUAAAACUAGAGACUUGCAUAACUGGUCUUGGCACUUUAAGCACCAUAACCAUUACAGCUUGUUGUAGUCAUUCUGGUGCAAGGCUCUGGGUGCAGCCAUUUUGUUUUGUUCUUAUUUUAACAUUGUUGUUUCCACUUACCAUUUUCUCUUAUUUCCUUGUUUAUUAUAGCAGUUUAAUAGAUUUCUAUAAAAUGCUUGGAACCAUUUUAAUGUUAGAAUUGUAUGUAUAGUCUUUUUAUAGAAUAUAAUGCCUGAUGUGCAUAUGUAAUAUGUCAUAAUGGGCCCACAUCAGCUGAUUUCCAUCACAUAUUUUCUUUAGGUUCUGUAUUAAAAUUCACCUUAUUGUGUGCGUCCAUAUUUGUGCCCCGAAAAAUAACUUGUGUGAAGAGAAUGAUUGUAAUGGAAACCUAAGCACCAUAUUAUUCUGACCGUGCUUUUUCUUUCAGAGCACUCCCCCUAUGUACAAUGUGAGAAAUAUGAAGGUCCCAACUGCCCUGUGGACUGGAGGCAAUGACUGGCUAGCAGACCGCAAGGAUAUUGCCAUGUUGCUUACACAAGUCAGUAAUUUGGUUUAUCACAAGGAGAUUCCAGAAUGGGAACAUCUAGAUUUCAUCUGGGGAUUAGAUGCACCUUAUCGCAUGUACAACGAAAUCCUCGAAUUGAUGAAAAAAUAUCCGUGAAUAUUUCUACAGUCAGGUGCUAGAACACUCCUCUAGUAUUGGCAUUUGAAACUGGAAAUCUUAACCAAGGACUGUCUUCCAACUAUUGCAGACUUAACUCAGGUGCUUUUGCUAAAUGUUGAUUUUUAAAGGUAUGGCUACAAAAUGAAUGAGUAUAUCCAGGGCCAAUCAGAAAGUAAUGUUUGACCCUAUAUUGCUAGAGGAUCACAUUGUCAAGCCAUACUUAUACCAAGUGCGCUGCUGCUACAUAUUUUAUAGGUGACCAAUAGUAAUUUGCAGUAACUGAGCAAAAGGCAUAUAUCAAAAACUUUCACUCAGGACUCCAUGCCCUACGUUACUGUGCUUUUAACGGUGUCCUAUAAUGCAAACAGUAUUUCAUUUUCAAGGUGCCGAAUAUCACUGAACCAAAAUGCCAUUACUCCUUUCUGACGCCACUCUAUGGAGCCAGAACCACUACUGCAUCACUCUAGUUAAGAGUAUUUUGUGUCUUGAUAAAACAUAUUUUGAUAUUUUUCUUCCCAUGAAUAUCAUUUUGAUUUGAUGUAGGAAUAUUUUGUUUUGUAUUAACUUUGCAACUGAUGUGAUGUUUACAACGGACUAUCAGUCAUCUCAUUGAUAGUCUAAGAUACAAUUAUUUUCUAGUAGUCGGCAGGGCAGGUGAUCUGCCAAAUGAUACUGAUAAACUACUGGAUCAACUGAUAAUCCAUCUGAAAGCAUGAAUCACCUGCAAGAUUAGGUACUGAUUGUAUUCUAAACCAAAUAUUCUAUUUCUUCCUCAAAGCAUAGCUGCUGCAAGUGAAAGAAUGGUUUGCGCAGUGUGAAUGUUCUCAGGUAGUUCAGGUGUUCAAGUCAAAAUCUAAAAAGCUAUUUCUACCAUUAUUAUUAUUAUUUUUUUAUUUAGAUUCUUACAGGACCCCUAUUUGCCUUAUAGAAGGAAUUGUGAUAUGGUUGUUUGAGACUGGAUUAUAUGGAGCCACAUAAAGAAUAGCAUACACUGUAAACAAGGAAUGCUAGCUCUUAACUAUAUCUUCCCUGGCCAGAAAUUGGUGAUUAUAUGACCAUCAGAAUUUAGUCAUUAGAAAUAGGAAAUG
RNAcentral lists this long non-coding RNA (4061 nucleotides) under Pelobates cultripes (western spadefoot toad). Lineage: Eukaryota; Metazoa; Chordata; Amphibia; Anura; Pelobatidae. The record is from RNAcentral.